CCUACGGGAGGCAGCAGUGGGGAAUAUUGCGCAAUGGGCGAAAGCCUGACGCAGCGACGCCGCGUGAGGGAUGAAGGUCUUCGGAUCGUAAACCUCUGUCAGCAGGGAAGAACGGUCACUGUGCUAAUCAGCAGUGAAUUGACGGUACCUGCAAAGGAAGCACCGGCUAACUCCGUGCCAGCAGCCGCGGUAAUACGGAGGGUGCGAGCGUUAAUCGGAAUUACUGGGCGUAAAGCGCUCGUAGGCGGUAUGUCAAGUCAAGGGUGAAAUCCCCGCGCUCAACGUGGGAACUGCCUUUGAAACUGGCAAACUGGAGUGUGUGAGAGGAUAGUGGAAUUCCAGGUGUAGGAGUGAAAUGCGUAGAGAUCUGGAGGAACAUCAGUGGCGAAGGCGACUAUCUGGCACAUAACUGACGCUGAGGAGCGAAAGCGUGGGUAGCAAACAGGAUUAGAUACCCGGGUAGUC
RNAcentral lists this ribosomal RNA (465 nucleotides) under uncultured bacterium. Its description in RNAcentral is "partial 16S ribosomal RNA". It matches the Rfam family "Bacterial small subunit ribosomal RNA", at positions 338 to 795 of the family's 1533-position model. The record is from RNAcentral.